Molecule: ribosomal RNA, 497 nt
Filed under: uncultured bacterium
Lineage: Bacteria
Description: partial 16S ribosomal RNA
Rfam family: Bacterial small subunit ribosomal RNA
Source: RNAcentral
GACGAACGCUGGCGGCGUGCCUAAUACAUGCAAGUAGAACGCUGAAGAGAGGAGCUUGCUCUUCUUGGAUGAGUUGCGAACGGGUGAGUAACGCGUAGGUAACCUGCCUUGUAGCGGGGGAUAACUAUUGGAAACGAUAGCUAAUACCGCAUAACAAUGGCUGACACAUGUCAUUUAUUUGAAAGGGGCAAUUGCUCCACUACAAGAUGGACCUGCGUUGUAUUAGCUAGUAGGUGAGGUAAUGGCUCACCUAGGCGACGAUACAUAGCCGACCUGAGAGGGUGAUCGGCCACACUGGGACUGAGACACGGCCCAGACUCCUACGGGAGGCAGCAGUAGGGAAUCUUCGGCAAUGGGGGCAACCCUGACCGAGCAACGCCGCGUGAGUGAAGAAGGUUUUCGGAUCGUAAAGCUCUGUUGUAAGUCAAGAACGGGUGUGAGAGUGGAAAGUUCACACUGUGACGGUAGCUUAACAGAAAGGGACGGCUAACUACGUG